Non-coding RNA from Coffea arabica (coffee), 427 nucleotides. The record is from RefSeq and is a predicted model, not a curated record. NCBI's taxonomy places the organism in Eukaryota, Viridiplantae, Streptophyta, Magnoliopsida, Gentianales, Rubiaceae.
UCGUCGGCCUGUAUAUCAAUUACCAAAAGAAAAAAGCUAAAGGGCAAAAAAAUGAGAGAAGGUUGAGUAACAGAAGGAACAGAAUAUUGCAGAAGGGAAAGAGAGGAGGACGACCACCAAAGGGUGCAAAAACGCCGCCGUCAAGCCUAUACAAGAAUAACGAACCAGAAGCUCCGGAUUUUUGUUAGCUUACGCUGUUUAUAUCAGUUCGCCGUCGUUUGUUAGCCUUUUCUGUUCAUUGUCUUCGUCGAGCCUUAGGAGAUCAAAGUCAAUGAUGCUGGGCGUUGUAAGGCGAAAAGUGGCUUCUGAUGCUUCUUCUGCUUUGAUUAAAAGGAAAUCAUGGCAUUGGAGUCGGCCUGUGGUUUCUACGCCUAGAGUUUCUACUGCUGUAGCUGAAGAGGUAACUCGCUGCUUUCUUUUCCAAUUC